GGAACUUAAGCACUACACCCCGGGGCUGGCCCUAUAAGCAAAUCUUGCUAAGUAAACAGUUGUUUGAUGAGUGAGCAGUUUGCCAGUUAAGCCAUCUAUUGUCCUGAGAAAUUGACCAAAAGCUGAAGUUGAGAUAAAUUGAUUUUUAGGAAGUUCCUAAAGCGAACAAUAAAAGUGUUUACUGGUAUAUGGCUUUAGGCCCCUGGGCAAGAAUUACUGGAACAAAUAAGCAAAUCAUGUUCCUGUAGGUGCCUUAGUUCUUAGUCUCCACUUCAGGUGUGUUGAUGCAAGCAGUCUCAGUUCUGAUGAUGUGCCUGUGUUUAUGUCACUCCUUCUGCAUUAGCACCCGUGGCAGUCCCAACUUGACAUUUGAUUGAUGUCCGUCUCUGCCAGUAGACUGUAUACUCUCUGAGGGAGAGUCUGUUUUGCUCCCCAUUUUAUCCCCGGUACUGGUCACAGCACCGGGAACAUGAAAGGUACUCAACUAAAAUUUGCCGAAUGAAUGAGACCUUGGACAAUAGCCUGGAUGGGACGAUGGGGGAAGAAAUCAGAGAUUACUUUGUCUUCAGUCCUAUGUUCGAGUCAUUCUAGUCAUGCCAAGAUGGGAGCUGGGGGAGCACAUUUUGAAGGCAAAGGUGAGAAGCUCCACUUUGGGAAACUGAGUUUCAUUUCCAGCAGGAAAUAUACAUCAGGAAUUCAGAGGAAAGACAAAAUCUAGGGCGAUAUAUGCAAAUUUUAUGAAUUUUGUUUCUUUGGAAUGACUUAAAAUCAAAGUAAUGUCGAGCUGUUGGAUGACUAUCACUGCUAUAAAUCUGACUUUAUCAGAGAAAAAUCCUUCUCAAAAUCCAUUUAGUUUGAAAGUCCCCCUCAGUCAGGCAAGGGCAAGACUAAUUAAAAUGUACUAGGUUGUAAAGAUAAUAUUAAAUGCAGGCAAAGCAUCUUCUGUGUGCCAGGCUCUUUUCUAAGUGUUUUACCUCCAUUAACUCAUUACACCUCACAAUAACUCUAUGAGGUAAGUGCUAUAAUCAUCUCCAUCUACAGAUAAGAGACAUGCAGAAUUGAGCCAAAGCUGCUUGCGACUACAUGAAGUAGGACUGGCUACGUGACUUAACUUUCUAUUCUGGGAAGUUCUUGCCCAAGAAGAUAAAGUUGCAAAAUAUUUGUUUCAAGAACCUCCUGAAAAUUCACUUAUUUGGAGAAUAGAUGGCUCAACUGGGAAAACGAGAUUGCUUCUCAAAAGGUUAUUGACUCAUCAAGAGUCACUUCAAAACCCAUGCCUUGCUGAAUUCACCAAUCGUAAACCAUUACAUCACAAAUUUGGCCGCAGUCACAAGCAGGUCCCCACACUAACAGUCUCCCCUUAAACCAGACUGCCUAAACCUUCUAAAUAUCCAUCCUUGAAGUCCCCUCUGAGACACACUGAGAUGAUGUCAAGAUGGUGCUCUCCCUUAUUGCAAUAAGCAAUAAACUUGGCUUUAUUUAGCAAUAGGUUAUUUUGGUUCUCUUAACAGAACCAAGAAAUUAAAGCCUUGUGCCCAGUUCUUUGCUGAUGUGUUCACUAAUUUCACAUGGAGAAGGAAGUUAAGGCCAGGAUUUACUAUCCAAAUGGACACCCACCUCACUUGGGUGAAGAAAGUUGUUUUACGAAAAUUAAGGGCAGAAUUCUUUGUAUCUGUUACAGAACUCAGCAUAGCAUUAUACUGAAUUAAAAUGAACCUAGACUAAAAGACAGAAGCAAGAUAGUUAAGUGAGUAUAGCCAAAAACAUAAUCAAAACUAGCCAGGUGACAAUGAAGGUUAGAUUGGGGAAGGUCCCACCUACUGUCAACCUCAGAGGUUAAAAAUACUGGCUUUGGAUUCAUAAAUGGGUUUAAGUUCUGGCUUUAUCAUUUUCCAAUGAUUUGACUUUGGGCCAUUAAUUUCCCCAAACCUCAGUAGCUCACCUAAUAAUGUUAGUACCUACAAGAUAGAGUUAAUGUGAGGACUAAAUGGGAUAGUGUAUGCCAAGAGUUUGUCAUGGUGUAAUUGGUGGUAUUUAUUGUUAUUAUUGUAAUUCACUGCAGGAUUUUAGGGCUUGGGAAGAAGGAAGAUAAGAUCAGUGGUAUACUUGAAGGGGACUGGAGAAUUCAGAGAAGAAAAAGUCUUAUAAGCUGGGAAUUCGGGAUUGGAUUUUUCUGUGGUAGUCUGGUGUUUUUCCAGGAAGAUUGGUUACCAAGGCGCAAAGGGUAGUUUCCCAACUAAACUCUCUCCACUUGAUAUUAGAGCACACUUUACCUCCCAAGAGGGCUGCCUGGGCAGAGUUUAGGACUGUAGGAGAAGCUUGAUCUUAGAAGUUUUAGAAUUUAGAACCCUGAGAGAGAGAUGGGAUCUGUCAACGAGAAACACCUAAGCGUUUUGUGGGGAUAUGUAGGAGGGGAAUUAAUUAAAACAGCGUGGGCUCCUGCAAAUCUGCUGCUUUAUUUCCUGGUCGACUCAGCAGUUCCAAAGGAGGCUGCAAGUUUAAUGAAGAGCAGUAAUGAAGACAUCUGCAAAUUUGACACCAACCAAGAAAUCAGCAGACGGAAGUGUGCAGAAAUGAAAGCGACUGGAGAAGGGGAAGAAACAGAACACAAAAAUAAAAUGGCUUCAUUCAGUCAUUUGCUAUUUGUUUUAAGUAAUGUUUUGGAGAAGAAGCUUGAAAUUAAUAGUUAAAAGAAAUUAUAUACAUACAUAUACCUAUAAAUACACACAUAUAUGUAAGUGGAUCUAGCAUUCAUGGGUCUUCUAGUUCCACAGGUAAUCAAGAGCCACUGCAAUGUCUUUUCUGACAGACUAAAUGAAAUCUACAACCUGCAACAUCAAAACUACCUCCACAUGUGUGUUUCAAGGUUGCACGGCUUUCUAGGGUCAAAUUCUAUCCAGGUUCUCCAUUCUUGAAAAGAGGAAAAUCCGUAACGCAAAAUACAAUACCUUUCAAAUGGUCUCUUUAAAUUCGCUACAAGCAUUGCAGCAAAACAAGUUUAUUAAGCUAAAAAGUUUAUUGAAGUUACCAGAAAAAGCUAAAAAUCUGCAUUUAGAAAGCCAUGAAUCACAUAUGUGUUUUGUAGGAGGAAGAGGUAUUGGAGGGUUUGUUUACUCUAAAGAGAAUUAAUUUACACUAAUUUCUAUCAUUUAAAAAUUAAGAAAAAAUAAUAAAACUUUUAAAAGCCUAAUAAAUAUAUAAAGACAACACCCUACCUCUAGAUUCAGCCUCAACUUGAUUUCUAACUAGAAUCUUGGGCAAGUGACAAUCUCUCAGGGGUCUUAACUAACUUAUCUAUACAAUGAAGAAAAGAUAUGAUCAACUGGCCCAAAGUGCUGGUUCCCUAGAGCUUGAGAAUUUUUUGAGAGGCUACUAGUUCCACUCAAAUGCCUAUGAGGUUAGGCAGGUAACAUAUCUGAAUGAAAAAGACCAGAGAGAGAAGAAUUUUUCUUGAGAGUGAAUCCUUAUCAGUCAAUCUUUCAUUAUUCUACACUCAGUAGUAAGAAAAAUAUUUCACUUUCUUCUUAGUUUUACUAUGAGAUAAACAAUAAUAAAUGGUCACCAAUCCUGAUAAAUGAUAGUGGUGUGGAGACCAUAGGGAAUGGUGGGGACUGUGGCAAACUAAAGAGAGUAGGGAAAGCAUCAAGCUAUUGUUACCACAUGGAAUUGAGGGUCUAAUGUUGCUAGAUGCCAAGAAUUUGGAUGUUUUUAGUGAAAUCUAAUUGUCAAUGUAGGCAAUCGAUUAAAAACACUAAAAAAACCCCACCUUAUGGGCCAUUACCAUUCUCUACAAACAAAACACAUCACUGGAUCAAAUAGGGCUCACAGGACACCAGUUUACAAUUUCUGUUCUACUAUGUCCCUCCGAUACUAGGAUCAGUACAUAUUAAAUAAUUUGCUAAUAAUGUCCCUUUCAUGAAAAGUCCUACUAUCAUAACCCACAGAAUAUUCACUGUGUUCUUUUUAUAGGCGGUACUCUGUCCUAGGACUUUCUGACUUAUCAUCUUAACUCAUCAUCACAAUAACUCUGAGAGGUAGAUAUACUGUUAUCCCAAGUAAGGCUCAUAAAGACCAAAUAACGUGUUCUAAGUCACACAACUCAUUUUUUACAGAAUUGAGUCUAAAAUACUGACAUGGAAAUAUUUACAAUAUUAUGCUGAAUGGAAAAAGGCGGCUAUAAAAAGUGUGUAUGAUUUUUAAAUUGCUUUUUAAAGACACCUUUUAUGAUUGAAUGUUAUUCUAUCCUGAAGAUAUGCCAUAAUAUACAUAAACAAGUCUCUAUCAUUAAACACUUGAGUUGUGCUUAAAAUCAUGUGGGGAAGCAUUUUUUUAAAUAUCCUGACUUCAUUUUUUUAAAAUCAUUAAUUGAUGGCCUAUAUGUCAGUUACUUUCAUUAAAAGCUGUCCUCAAAGGGAAAUAUGAGUUGUAAUGUAUCUCUGGUGAGCAAGGUUUAUCUUAUGUAUAUGUAAAAGAAGCCACAGGGCUUCUUUGAACUUGAAGCAGGAAUUCAGAUCGGCUACACAAAUUUUUAAGCUAUCUAAGCAAUCACCUCUGAAUCGGUGGGUCAGGUCCCAAAUUGCAUUCUUUGUCUCUUUGGUGGAAAGAAGCUAGGCUUCCCUCAGGCAACUUAGUUUGGAGAAUUGUACAAAGGAUUAUAGCGGUCUUCUCAGCUAGAAACUUCAGGAGACUUUAUUGACAUUUAUGAACUGAACUUUGAGAGCUACUCCUAUUAGCAGGCUAUCCUUUGGAGUCCUUUUGUCAACUAUACAGAUGACAAAAAGUACGUCUGCAUCUUUUCUCAAUUUUCCACUUUUCAUAGCAGUAGAAUCCCAAAUACUACAAUUUCAAAAUAACAGCUGCCAGGCUGCAGACACAGAGGGAUACAAACACCUUGGAGGAAAGGGACCAAAAUGAUGAUGCAACUUGAAAACAUGAUUUUUAUCCCUCAAUCUAGAAGACUUUCGAGAAUGAAAGGAGAGCUCUUAAUAAUCACGUUGGGAUGGCAGUCUUGCACACAAAGACUCUCCCUGGUAACCUGGGACACACAUACGGUCACUCUCCUAUGAAAGACAGUUGUAGAAACUGGAGAUAUUGAGUACAGAAAAGAGAGGAUGGGGAUGAGUUUGGAGGGUGGGGGACCUGCAAGCUGCUUUUAGGUGUCUGAAAAACUCCGUGAAGAACUGAUUUGAUGUGAUCCUAAUUCUAACACUUGGAGUGACUGGAACAUGAUGAAAAGGCUUUACAGUUUGAUGUAAUGGUCAUGAGUUCGGUUGUUGAACAGUCCUGUAUUCAAAUUCCAGAUGAUACUAACUAGAUGUGUGGCCAUAGACACGUUUCUUAACUUCAUUAUAAAAAGAGGACAGUGUUUUAAUGACUUACUGAGGUAAAGAGGAAAGCAAGCGACUCGAAAUAGGGGCUUAAUAAAUGUUAGCGUGUGCACGGUAUCUACUGCUAGAAAUAGUCAAGGAUAGGGACAAACCACCCAAGACGUAAUAUUAUGGGAUCUUUUAGGGAUUAACUAAAUGGAUAGUCAGAGCCAAACUUUUUUGACUAAUUUAACUUAGAGAUUAAAAAAAAAAUCAAUUGGUAAUUUUUUCUAGGUACGAGAUAAGGUUAUCUUAUGUAAAAUCUUAUUUU
This is a non-coding RNA of Equus caballus (horse), 5637 nucleotides long. The record is from RefSeq and is a predicted model, not a curated record. Lineage: Eukaryota; Metazoa; Chordata; Mammalia; Perissodactyla; Equidae.